GAUGAACGCUGGCGGCGUGCCUAAUACAUGCAAGUCGAACGAGGUCUUCGGACCGAGUGGCGAACGGGUGAGUAACACGUUGGUACCUACCCCGAAGUGGGGAAUAACUGGCCGAAAGGUCGGCUAAUACCGCAUAAUACCGCAAGGUUAAAGCAGUAAUGCGCUUCGGGAGGGGCCUGCGUCCCAUUAGCUAGUUGGUGAGGUAAUUGCUCACCAAGGCAACGAUGGGUAGCUGGAUCGAGAGGUUGACCAGCCACACUGGGACUGAGAUACGGCCCAGACUCCUACGGGAGGCAGCAGUAAGGAAUCUUCCACAAUGGACGAAAGUCUGAUGGAGCAACGCCGCGUGCAGGAUGACGGCCUUGGUUG
Molecule: ribosomal RNA, 369 nt
Filed under: uncultured bacterium
Lineage: Bacteria
Description: bacterial SSU rRNA
Rfam family: Bacterial small subunit ribosomal RNA
Source: RNAcentral